This 395-nucleotide ribosomal RNA is filed under the name uncultured Chrysophyceae. Its description in RNAcentral is "partial small subunit ribosomal RNA". It matches the Rfam family "Eukaryotic small subunit ribosomal RNA", at positions 30 to 432 of the family's 1831-position model. Lineage: Eukaryota; Chrysophyceae. The record is from RNAcentral.
GCUUGUCUCAAAGAUUAAGCCAUGCAUGUCUCAGUAUAAGUUCCUGUACGGCGAAACUGCGAAUGGCUCAUUAAAACAGUUAUAGUUUAUUUGAUGGUCGUUCCUUACAUGGAUAACUGUGGUAAUUCUAGAGCUAAUACAUGCACCCAUGCCCGACUUUGUGGAAGGGUUGUGUUUAUUAGUUACAGAACCAAUGCGGGGCAACCCGGAUUCUGGUGAUUCAUAAUAAUUAUCGGAUCGAUCGUAUGAUCGAUGCAUCAUUCAAGUUUCUGCCCUAUCAGCUUUGGAUGGUAGGGUAUUGGCCUACCAUGGCAUUAACGGGUAACGGAGAAUUAGGGUUCGAUUCCGGAGAGGGAGCCUGAGAAAUGGCUACCACAUCCAAGGAAGGCAGCAGG